GCACCUGAUUGAUUUUGGUCGCCAACGAGUGGCGGACGGGUGAGUAACACGUAGGUAACCUGCCCAGAAGCGGGGGACAACAUUUGGAAACAGAUGCUAAUACCGCAUAACARCGUUGUUCGCAUGAACAACGCUUAAAAGAUGGCUUCUCGCUAUCACUUCUGGAUGGACCUGCGGUGCAUUAGCUUGUUGGUGGGGUAAYGGCCUACCAAGGCGAUGAUGCAUAGCCGAGUUGAGAGACUGAUCGGCCACAAUGGGACUGAGACACGGCCCAUACUCCUACGGGAGGCAGCAGUAGGGAAUCUUCCACAAUGGGCGCAAGCCUGAUGGAGCAACACCGCGUGAGUGAAGAAGGGUUUCGGCUCGUAAAGCUCUGUUGUUAAAGAAGAACACGUAUGAGAGUAACUGUUCAUACGUUGACGGUAUUUAACCAGAAAGUCACGGCUAACUACGUGCCAGCAGCCGCGGUAAUACGUAGGUGGCAAGCGUUAUCCGGAUUUAUUGGGCGUAAAGAGAGUGCAGGCGGUUUUCUAAGUCUGAUGUGAAAGCCUUCGGCUUAACCGGAGAAGUGCAUCGGAAACUGGAUAACUUGAGUGCAGAAGAGGGUAGUGGAACUCCAUGUGUAGCGGUGGAAUGCGUAGAUAUAUGGAAGAACACCAGUGGCGAAGGCGGCUACCUGGUCUGCAACUGACGCUGAGACUCGAAAGCAUGGGUAGCGAACAGGAUUAGAUACCCUGGUAGUCCAUGCCGUAAACGAUGAGUGCUAGGUGUUGGAGGGUUUCCGCCCUUCAGUGCCGGAGCUAACGCAUUAAGCACUCCGCCUGGGGAGUACGACCGCAAGGUUGAAACUCAAAGGAAUUGACGGGGGCCCGCACAAGCGGUGGAGCAUGUGGUUUAAUUCGAAGCUACGCGAAGAACCUUACCAGGUCUUGACAUCUUGCGCCAACCCUAGAGAUAGGGCGUUUCCUUCGGGAACGCAAUGACAGGUGGUGCAUGGUCGUCGUCAGCUCGUGUCGUGAGAUGUUGGGUUAAGUCCCGCAACGAGCGCAACCCUUGUUACUAGUUGCCAGCAUUAAGUUGGGCACUCUAGUGAGACUGCCGGUGACAACCGGAGGAAGGUGGGGACGACG
RNAcentral lists this ribosomal RNA (1130 nucleotides) under Limosilactobacillus fermentum. RNAcentral describes it as "bacterial SSU rRNA". It matches the Rfam family "Bacterial small subunit ribosomal RNA", at positions 64 to 1184 of the family's 1533-position model. The record is from RNAcentral. Lineage: Bacteria; Bacillati; Bacillota; Bacilli; Lactobacillales; Lactobacillaceae.